CUCGCAGUACUUGGGGCGAGCCAGGCAAGAUCUCGCGAGAUGCUGCCGCCCGGGCCUGUGGGCGGUUUCCCUGAGGGCGCGUGGUACCCAGGCCCGCGGCGCUUUUGGCUGCGGGGGUGAUGCUGGGGGGCUUUCCUGUUGGACCCCGCGCGCGCGCGCGCUUCCGGAGGCGCUGGCCGUGCGCGCUCCCGGCGGGGGCCUGUGAGCGCGCUCGCGCAUUCCGGGCGGGCGAGCGCCCAGCUGGUCUCGGGUACCCGGCGCCCGCGUUUUAGAUUUGCAUAACCAAAGAGUAAUUCCAGCCGCGAUGCGGUGGGUGUGUCCACGCUGGAGUGACACCUUGAUUUUUUUUUUUUUUUCUUUAAAAAGCCGGGGUUUGAAGGUGGCCAGGGAACCUCGUUCCGAGGUUGGAAGACAAUUUUUAACUUCGCUGUUAGGAAACGCAGCUCUCUCGGAAUAAAGUGACGGCAGCAACCGAUGCUACAAUUUCAAGGGGGUUUUCCGUUUGGCUGCGGUGGGGAAGAAUUCCUCAGGUUGGACACAAAAAGCCACUCCUGCUCUGCAGGCUUGAUUUCUCCGAAAAUGUAAAGGAGGGACACCUGUCUUAGUCUCAGUAUUCGCCUUUAACUUACCACCUCUCCAAAGCCCUAAGAGAAAACCCUUGAAACUGCAGCGACGCAUCUCGUUAGCUUGUAAGAUAAAAUCUCAGGACUUUCCAUCGCCGUGACCAAAUGACAGGGAGCAGGCGUGACAUUCUUCUGCAGAGAGACAGACAGAUAAUAGGCGGCCUCUUAGAUUUUAGUUUUGCUGAUCUGCUCACUCAACCUCUGUACCAACAAACUAUCCCCGCCAUCUUCACCUUAAUUUCGUGUGGAACUUCCUUGUUUUUGAAUGGAAAAGAAGUGCAAGUUCCUUACUGGUAACGGAAACACUUUUUAAAAUGAGGAAAUAAGAGUUUUCCAAUUCUGUCGUUCAGAGAAAGUUGUUGUUGACGUUUUUGUUCAGACGUUGUCAUCAUUUCCGUGUGCCAAUGUACAAUGCAAAACUCACAAAUGGGAUCAUAAUUGGACAUAAACUCCCAUAAUUUUUUUAUUUACAUAUAUUAUGUACACAUAACUUUACUGAACAUUUCCCCACAACAUGAUUUAUAUUGCUCAUCUAAUGUUGAAUGUUUAGAACAUUUCGGGUUUUCUGGUGCUUGAUGCUUGUGAAUAACUGUACAUGUAAAUUGUUCCCAGUUUCCUUAACUUAUCUUUUUAGGGUAAAUCAUUCCUAGUUUCCUUAUCUUUUCAGGUAUAUACUUACAUUAUUUGUCUAUUGGUUAGAACUCUUAAUUUCCAGCAACAGAAACCUUACUGGGUUUAACAAGAAGAAAUUCGAGAAGAAAAAGAAGAGGAAGAGGAGGAAAAAGAGGAAGAAGAGAGUGCAGGGAAGAAGAGGGGAGAGUUGAAAUACAGGAGUGUCUUCGGGAGCCUGCAAAUGAAGACAGAGUUGAAAACACUCUUGAUUGCUGUGUACAUGCAUCUGUGUGCUUCUGGCCCAUAUUUCCCUCAUCACUCAACGGUCUUCCCCUGUUCCCUCCUAUGGAAUGAAGAUACGGCCACAUUCAGCAUGUCAGUUUACAUGUCAGUUUGAUCCAAAUCUGAGAAAAACUAAUUCCAUCUCAGUCCUUUCUCAUCUCCCCACCCACUCAGUUUUCCAGAUUUCCAGAACUGUUGGUAUCCACUUUGACACAGAGGUAGAUGCUCUAUUAGCCAUGUAAAUGGUAGGGCAAGGAAGUUCAGAAGAAAAGGAUGUGGAAAGACACCAUAUACAUAGCUUCACAUUCUUGUCACUCACUCAUCAUGUCCAUUUUCAUUUCUUUAUAAAAUAGUAUUUUUUUGCCAUUUUAAAAUUUUAAUUGAAAAAAAGCACCGAAUUCAUUUUGUAUUAUAUCAAUUUUCAAUUGGGGAUAUAUAAAUUGCAAUGAAUUAACAUUAUUAAGCCAGUAAAAGAAAAUUCUUGAGCUAGGUGGUGGUGGCACAUGCCUUUAAUCCUGGCAUGGUGGGGGCGGGUGAGUGGAGGAGGCAGAGGUAGGCCAAUCUCUGAUUUCGAGGCUAAUCUGGUCUAGAGUGAUUCCAGGAUAGCCAAGCGUUCACAAAGAAACCGUCUCUCAAAAAUGCAAACCAA
This is a non-coding RNA of Peromyscus maniculatus bairdii (prairie deer mouse), 2166 nucleotides long. Lineage: Eukaryota; Metazoa; Chordata; Mammalia; Rodentia; Cricetidae. The record is from RefSeq and is a predicted model, not a curated record.